CAGCCGCCACGGUAAAACGUAGGUGGCAAGCGUUGUCCGGAAUUAUUGGGCGUAAAGGGCUCGCAGGCGGUUUCUUAAGUCUGAUGUGAAAGCCCCCGGCUCAACCGGGGAGGGUCAUUGGAAACUGGGAAACUUGAGUGCAGAAGAGGAGAGUGGAAUUCCACGUGUAGCGGUGAAAUGCGUAGAGAUGUGGAGGAACACCAGUGGCGAAGGCGACUCUCUGGUCUGUAACUGACGCUGAGGAGCGAAAGCGUGGGGAGCGAACAGGAUUAGAUACCCGUGUAGUCCCUGUCUCUUAUAC
RNAcentral lists this ribosomal RNA (301 nucleotides) under uncultured bacterium. RNAcentral describes it as "partial 16S ribosomal RNA". It matches the Rfam family "Bacterial small subunit ribosomal RNA", at positions 509 to 807 of the family's 1533-position model. The record is from RNAcentral.